Molecule: long non-coding RNA, 1103 nt
Organism: Odontomachus brunneus
Lineage: Eukaryota; Metazoa; Arthropoda; Insecta; Hymenoptera; Formicidae
Exons: 2
Source: RefSeq, a predicted model, not a curated record
UCAGCCCGGUGGUCGCUCUCAUGUUUCUCUCUGGUUCGCGUGUAUGAGAAUGGAGUUAUAACGAGGUUAUAUUUUUAAUGUAUAAUAGUUUUAAAAGUUACGAAGUGUGUUUGCCGCGAUAAUCUUGAAGAAAAGCUAUAUAAUUAACAACUAAAUUAAAUAAUAAGGAGAUAAAAGAGAAAGGAAAAGGAGAAGAAAAAAAAAGAGAGAAUGUGUGAAAAGAAAUGAAGAGAAGAUAGAAAAAAUGAAGAUAAAUGAUGAGACGGUAAAAAACCAACAAGAUGAAAAGACAAGAGGAAUAUAUGAGUAAGAGAAUGAAUAAAUAAAAGGGUAGAUAACAAAUAAAUAAAUAAAUUUUUUGUCUGUCGCGAUAAUAAAUAAGUACCCAUACAGUACAAAAUCUCCUGGCGACGUCUCAGAGAUGUCCUAAGGAUGUAGAAACAUCCCAGGACAUCCUCAGGACGUACUCUGGAUAUCUUCUAGACAUCUGUGCUGUUAACGUAUUGCUUUAUAUAAUAUAGGAUAACUUAUAAGGAUAUAGAACUAGGAUUCUUUGUUGUUUGUACUUUUAUUAUUUUUAAACAAGAUAUAAAUAAAGGAAGUAAGAAAGAAAGUACAGAAAGCGGGAAGAAAAAGAGGAAAUAUAAGGAGAGAAGACAGUACACAGAUAUAUGAGGAACAGAAAAUAGAAACGAAGCAAGAAGAUAGAAAAUAGAGAGAUGCAAGAUAGUAAAAUAGGAAAGGUUACUUUUUAAAAAUAAUUUAUUAUUAUUCAUUAUAUUUAUUAUUAUUUAUUAUUAUUACUCGUUAUUCAUCAGAAAAGUACAUUGUUACUGUUACUUGAAUACUAUUACUUUGUGUUGUUUUUAUAGGUAAAUUAAUAAGAAGAUAAAAAAGGAAGGAAAAGAAAAAGAGAAGAAAAGAAAGAGAGCAAGGAGAGAAUGUGCGACAAGAAAUAAAGAGAAGACAGAAAAAAUGAAGAUAAAUGAUAAGACCAUAAGAGAGUAAUAAAACCAUAAGAGAGCAAGAAGGAAAGACAAGAGGAAUAUAUGAGUGUGUAAGAGAAUGAAUAAAUAAAAGGAUAGAUAAUAAAUAAAUAUUUU